RNAcentral lists this long non-coding RNA (661 nucleotides) under Homo sapiens (human). RNAcentral describes it as "HSALNT0306008". Lineage: Eukaryota; Metazoa; Chordata; Mammalia; Primates; Hominidae. The record is from RNAcentral.
AAUGUGAUGAAGAACCAAUGUGGGCUAUAAUUGCCCAGGAGGGCUUCCCUGGAGAUGUGGGGUUAAUCUGAGCCAUGAAGAAUGAUUAUGGGUUGGCCAGGCCAGUUGGGGAGGGAAGGAUGGCCAGAGGUAGAAUGAAAGGGAGAGGACAGAGAGGCGCCAUGGCUGAAGGGACACCAUCCUUCCUUCCUCUCCCGCUGCAUCCAUAUGACUUGUGUCCUGCUGCUGCUGAGUGCCAGUGGGUAAAUACCUUCUCUAGAGCCCCAGCCCCUCCUUCGGCUCAAAAAGAUAACUGUAAAACCAUCAUCAGGGGAUCUGGCUAACAGUGUGAGAAGCUGCCUAAUUCUGACUACACCUUCUGACCUCACUCUGGUGUGGACUUGAAGAGGGUGCUCUUGGAUCCAAGAACUUGAGACCAACUCUAACUAUCUUAAUCUAUUUAUUGAGAGUGUAUCAGAGCUUGCAGAACCAACCCAAUGUGUGGGUUUGGGUGUGGAGAGCAAACACAGUAGUCCUGAAGGCUGGAAAGCUGGUCUUUCACCUGGAAUGGGUGGGCUUGGACAUCACCUCUGCAUUGCUGGACUGUGGUAUGGUCUCACACCACAAGAAGAUUUAAGCAACCUUAUUAACUUAAUAAAGAUUUAAAGACGUUGAGCCUGUC